Molecule: ribosomal RNA, 253 nt
Filed under: uncultured bacterium
Lineage: Bacteria
Description: partial 16S ribosomal RNA
Rfam family: Bacterial small subunit ribosomal RNA
Source: RNAcentral
UACGUAGGGUGCGAGCGUUGUCCGGAGUUACUGGGCGUAAAGGGUGUGUAGGCGGUUCUUUAAGUUUGGUGUGAAAUCUCCCGGCUCAACCGGGAGGGUGCGCCGAAUACUGAGGGACUAGAGUAUGGGAUGGGAAAGUGGAAUUCCUGGUGUAGCGGUGAAAUGCGUAGAUAUCAGGAGGAACACCUGUGGUGUAGACGGCUUUCUGGACCAUAACUGACGCUGAGACACGAAAGCGUGGGUAGCAAACAGG